CGCGUAGGCGGUUUAGUAAGUCGGAUGUGAAAUCCCCGGGCUUAACCUGGGAACUGCAUUCGAUACUGCUUGACUAGAGUAUGGUAGAGGGAAGUGGAAUUCCGGGUGUAGCGGUGAAAUGCGUAGAUAUCCGGAGGAACACCAGUGGCGAAGGCGACUUCCUGGGCCAAUACUGACGCUGAGGUGCGAAAGCGUGGGGAGCAAACA
RNAcentral lists this ribosomal RNA (207 nucleotides) under uncultured bacterium. RNAcentral describes it as "partial 16S ribosomal RNA". It matches the Rfam family "Bacterial small subunit ribosomal RNA", at positions 568 to 774 of the family's 1533-position model. The record is from RNAcentral.